This 3385-nucleotide long non-coding RNA is filed under the name Apis mellifera (honey bee). RNAcentral's name for it is "uncharacterized LOC107965484". Lineage: Eukaryota; Metazoa; Arthropoda; Insecta; Hymenoptera; Apidae. The record is from RNAcentral.
GCAUCUCGCGGCCCUCACCACGGAGCCUCGGUCAGCUAGGCUGUCCUCCGUCGCGCACUCGCAUAAUUUUUCGAUCGCCGAGCCUGCAACAGCAUUAUUUUCCAACCAUCAUCCUUCGAUUCCCACGAAAUGAGAGGUACAAUUGAGGAAAGUUGCAAUUACAAGACUCGGACAAUAUUUUCUUUUUUUCAUGAUUAAAAGAGCUACUUUCCUCGAUGGACACAUCGGCGACAAUCUCGAUUAAUCGGAUUAAACCGAGAAGAAAUAAAGAAUUCUCUUGGAGAGAGAAAGAGAGAAGCUCUUCGAAAUACGGCGCGUAAUCGAGGGAGGAGAAGAGCAAUCGCAUCGAAGCUUAACGAUAAUCGAAAGCAAUCCAAACAUUCGUUACGUUGUUUUUCUGCAAGAAAAUUGCGCGAAGGAAGGGAGCGGUAACGAUGUUUAGUUUAGGAAAGUAGUAUUAUUUUUCACGAUUAAAUCGUUUGCUGCAGAUAUUUAACUCGAAAUUUUUUCGAAUUUCAGAAAGAAUCGUAUUAAGAAUCUAACUAAUUUCUCUUUAAUAAAUCUCAACAUUUCGUUUAAUUUGAUCGAUCGAAUAAAUUGUUUGAUUAAUUGUGAGAUGAUCCAAGUCCAUUUGGAUCUGAUUGGAUAAAACUGAUAAAUUUUGCCACAACGAUUUCAACAUUUUCUAAUAAAUUAGAAAGAUACGAAUAUUCUCUAAUCAAUCUUCAUUUCAAGUAUUAUUUCAAGAGGAUAGAAAAAACGAGCUUACAUUUCGAUAACAAACAAUCAGUUAUGAAUCUAUAUGAAAAAUGAAAAAUGGAAACGAAAAAAUUUGUACUUGCUUGAACUUUAAUCUCCAUUUAUAAUAAACGUGCAGAGGCAAGAUCCUCUGUUUUACAGCGAAACAAUCCACAGUUCGAUCACAGUAUUUUUACAAAUUGGAAAUAAUUCCAGUGGUUAUUUGUACAUAUAUAUAUAUACAUUGGACGGAAUUGGAUCAUCCUCCCUAUACAGUUUCUCAUGUAAAUUCGAGAGCAGAGGAUUACAGAUAUCGCCGCACCGCAAUAUAGGCGCAUUGCGUAUAACCCAGUUCACCGAUUGGUAGUUCGGCACCAUUGAUCCUUUGUCGUGACAAUGGGCACAGAUAAAUCAACGAAUCUAUCCAUGGUCCAUUUCUAAGGAUCCAUAAACGGUAAUAAAUCAAGCGCUGGUGGUGAGAACUUGAUGGAUCUACAUGAACUGAUCGAUAUCGAAGCAACGAUUCCGAUCAAUGUAUUCUCGCGAUCAAAAUCUUCUAAAAGAAGAUAUUAUAAAUUAUUAUUUUGCCGAAGAUUUAGAUUUAAAAAUUCGAGAUAUCAUUUCUUUUCCACGUGUGAUCUCGAUGCUGAAUUUAAAUUAAAAAUGGAAAAACUUACAAGAUCAUCAAAAUAAAAAAAAUACAUUAUAAUAAGAAGACAAUUGAAAUUGACAUUUUCAGUGAUCGAAGAGAUUCCUCGAAAAUGGAGGGCAUCGAUACAAAUUUAUUCCUUCGAUUCGAUCGAAUGCAAAUGAAAUUUCACGAUAAAUUUUCGAGCCACGUAAUCAUGGAUGAAUCCAGCGUCGACGCAACGUCGACGGGGCAAUUAUUCGAACGAAACGAAUCGCGCGAAUCUAUUCCCCGAUAUUCGUUUCACCAAUAUUAUCAAACGGCGCGUUAAAGUUGGAAAAUCGACGAAAUUCUCGGGCGCGCGUGAAAAAUGAACCCUUCCCCAGAGGGAAUUAUCUAUCGACGUGAAAUAUGCCAACGACGUUCCUUCCGCAAAUUCUGAUUAAUCCUUGGGGACUGUGCGUCACGCGUGUCGCAAUAUGAAACGGCUGCCAAUAGAGCAACGUGGCAAACACGUGGCACAGAUAUCAAACGAUUCAAGUUCGACUUGGAUUCGUCUUAAAAUGAACGUUUCUCGGAAAACAAGAGUCGUUGGAUCUUUUUUUUUUCCUUUUCGAAAAAUCUGAUUUUAAUGAAAAUUCGUAUAUCGUCCACAGUGCAUUGAUUAUCGUAAUUUCAAUUGGAAAUAAUAUUUGUAGAAAAGAGUUCGAGAUUUGAAGAAUUGUUUCAGAAUUUAAAAUUUUAAGCUCUGUCUCGAAAAUAUUGAAAAUUCUUUUGAAGAUAUAAGUUGUUAAGAUGAAGAUGCAUGGAUGCUUUUGAUAAUCGAUUAUAGUAUAGAUAAAUUAGAGGAAAUGAGGAUUAUAUAAAUAAUAUUCCAGUGAAAGAUGAAAAUGGUGAAAAAUCGUAGAAAUGUAGCGUAUAAUAGAUAUGAGAGAAAACAAUGCACCCGGCCUGAUUCUUCGUCUUUAGAAAAUGCUUGUUGGAGGUUAAUAAAUGUUUUGCACGUUGGCUUGACCCGAUCUUAAAAGGUAGCCCGGAUAAAAAUAGCAUAGAGUGCCGUCUAUCGUAAGGGUACACUGUCUGUGGAAGAAGUUACCGUUUCUUGUUGAUCGAUGCGGUUAUUAGUGGACGACGACAGAGAAAGACAAAAAAGAAAAAAAAAGGAAAAACUGGAGCUUCCAAAUCGUGUCACGAUUUUCGAUCCUUCUUCGAUCGAUAUCCUUAAUUGACGAACAAAUCGAGAAGAAUAAACUGAAGGAAAAAAUUUAAUCGAGACGAAAUUUAAUUCGUAAAGAAGUUGCUAAAAUUUGUCAAGUCUUAAGUGUGGAUCAACGACGUUGAAGAAGAUUUUUUUGUCUCUGAAGAAGAUUGCAAAGGGUAAUUUUGAAGCAACGUUUGAUCUAUGAUGGGAUUGAGGAUCAAGAAAAUUUAGAGAAAAGUUAUCAUUGAAGAAAAUUGCGUGUGGAUUAUUUUGAAGUUGGAAUGCUUGAUUUAUGAUUAAGAAUAUUAAAACAAAUAUUUAUUGUAAAGUUUGAUUUAUGAAAGGAUUAAGAAAAUUUAGAAAAAAAGUUAUUAUUGAAGAAAAUUGUAUUUAUUAUAUUUAUUGUAUAUAUAAAUAAAAAUGUAUUUAUUGUAUUUGAUUUAUGAAAGGAUUAAGAAAAUUUAGAAAAAAAGUUAUCAUUGAAGAAAAUUGCGUGUGGAUUAUUUUGAAGUUGGAAUGUUUGAUCUAUGAUUAAGAAUAUUAAAACAAAUAUUUAUUGUAAAGGAUUAUUAUGAAAGGAUUAAGAAAAAAAGUUAUCAUUGAAGAAAAUUGCGUAUGGAUUAUUUUGAAGUUGGAAUGUUUGAUCUAUGAUUAAGAAUAUUAAAACAAAUAUUUAUUGUAAAGGAUUAUUAUGAAAGGAUUAAGAAAAAAAGUUAUCAUUGAAGAAAAUUGCGUAUGGAUUAUUUUGAAGUUGGAAUGUUUGAUUUAUGAUUAAGAAUAUUAAAACAAAUAUUUACUGUUUUUUUUUUUAUUUAAUA